AUGCUGAAAGCAAAGCACACCCAGCUCUUAAACUCCAGAAAGUGCCUAAAGCUACCUUGUUUACACACAGAAAUAUCAGGUGUAACAUCUGGAACACCUUCUCCUCCCAGAAAGCCAAAUAUUGAGGUCAAAGCUUUGGAAUUCCAGUGGUGCUGUGUGUAUGUAGCAGGUACAGGCACAAACAGGAAUAUUUCCCAGUCAAGGUUGGCUACUGUGAAAGGAGGGCAGCAUCCUUUGUUUGGGACUUGGAGGAGCUGCAUGAUUCAGGAACAGGAAGAGCCGGGACAGAUAGACUGGGACCCUCCAGGGUACUGAGGAAACUCCAAAGAAGUACAAUGUGUCCAGUGUUGUGUCCUGGUUUGGCUUCAAGGUAGUACGUGCUCAAUUAUUCUCGAACCCUUGGACAGGAACUGCAUGUAUGUCAGCCAAGAGAGUUUGGAAUAUCUGGGCAAUACCUGUGGACUGAUUUGCUUUCUAGAUAUGCUGCUUUCCAGCCAUUAAUCCAGCUCUGAAAGAGCUGCAGACCCUAUUACUGUGAUUACAAGUCACAGAACAACUUUUUUGGUGUUGUGGGACCAAUGCUUUGCUUUCAAUUAGAACAUUUCUAAUUCUCUUAAACAUUUAUUGAAGUAUAUAUUUUUGCAAAUGUUUAGAGUAUGGUUUACAUUUCAACUAAACCAACUUUAUGAUGAACCACUGGAAUAAAAUAAUCUUCAGAUAAUCCUAAAGUUUAUUA
RNAcentral lists this long non-coding RNA (736 nucleotides) under Junco hyemalis (dark-eyed junco). RNAcentral describes it as "lncRNA (ENSJHYG00000013678.1)". Lineage: Eukaryota; Metazoa; Chordata; Aves; Passeriformes; Passerellidae. The record is from RNAcentral.